This 325-nucleotide ribosomal RNA is filed under the name Blautia sp. AM46-5. RNAcentral's name for it is "bacterial SSU rRNA". It matches the Rfam family "Bacterial small subunit ribosomal RNA", at positions 1 to 306 of the family's 1533-position model. Lineage: Bacteria; Bacillati; Bacillota; Clostridia; Lachnospirales; Lachnospiraceae. The record is from RNAcentral.
UUUAUUUAGAGAGUUUGAUCCUGGCUCAGGAUGAACGCUGGCGGCGUGCUUAACACAUGCAAGUCGAACGAAGCACUUGAAACAGAUUCUUCGGAUGAAGUUUCCUGUGACUGAGUGGCGGACGGGUGAGUAACGCGUGGGUAACCUGCCUCAUACAGGGGGAUAACAGUUAGAAAUGGCUGCUAAUACCGCAUAAGCGCACGGCAUCGCAUGAUGCAGUGUGAAAAACUCCGGUGGUAUGAGAUGGACCCGCGUUGGAUUAGCUAGUUGGCAGGGUAACGGCCUACCAAGGCGACGAUCCAUAGCCGGCCUGAGAGGGUGGACG